UACGUAGGGUCCGAGCGUUGUCCGGAAUUAUUGGGCGUAAAGAGCUCGUAGGCGGUUUGUCGCGUCGGCCGUGAAAACCUGCAGCUUAACUGUGGGCUUGCGGUCGAUACGGGCAUCACUGGAGUUCGGCAGGGGAGACUGGAAUUCCUGGUGUAGCGGUGAAAUGCGCAGAUAUCAGGAGGAACACCGGUGGCGAAGGCGGGUCUCUGGGCCGAUACUGACGCUGAGGAGCGAAAGCGUGGGGAGCGAACAGG
RNAcentral lists this ribosomal RNA (254 nucleotides) under uncultured bacterium. Its description in RNAcentral is "partial 16S ribosomal RNA". It matches the Rfam family "Bacterial small subunit ribosomal RNA", at positions 524 to 776 of the family's 1533-position model. The record is from RNAcentral.